CACGGACAGCCUGGAUCUGCUGGGUAAAGGGAGAAGUUAUGUCCAGGGUGGGACAGAGAGGACGGCGAGAGAUUUCCUCACUACUCAGAACAGCGGGAAAUUCAAAACUUAGGGAUUAUUUCUGAAAUUUUCCAUUUAAAAUUUUCUAUUUAAAAUUGACGAAGGGUAACUGAAACCAGAGAAAGCAAGACUGACGAUAAGGGAGGGGCCUCCUGUACUCCAAGAGCACUGAAUCUGGAAAAACUCAACACAUCGAUGGAGUCAUAUAUUUAAUUUUUUCUUAAAAGCCGCCUGCGGGGUAUUGUAGAAACGCUGCGCUGCCUAUCACAGCUUGUGAUGUGACACGUUCAUUCUGCAAGUUUAAACUUCGCCUAGAUCGGUUCUUGGGGAAAAGCUGUGCUUCAGAGACAAGGUUGAAGAACUUCGCCUGCAUAUGAUGGAAGAUGACAAUGGGAACCACAGGUGUCAUUGGUGGCUUUGUUUUACAAAGUCUUCACCUUUCUGCUGAGUCACGGGACUAAGUUCAACACAAUUUCUACUUUCCGCCUUCCUUUGGAAUAAUAGUUUUGGAAGCCAAGUAUUAGUAUAUGAUACCAGCCUGGAGUCGGGGACUCUGAAACCUAAUCUGAAGUGUGUUUAACGAGGGUUCUGAACGCUGGGACUUAUUGCUGAGGGGAACAAGGAGACAGUGUGUCCUCAGGGGCAGUGUGGCCGCCCCUAGAGCCACAGCAAGCAGGAAGAAUCGCAGCAUUUGUGGUCAGAACCGA
Molecule: long non-coding RNA, 767 nt
Filed under: Homo sapiens (human)
Lineage: Eukaryota; Metazoa; Chordata; Mammalia; Primates; Hominidae
Description: non-protein coding lnc-IPO5-1:20
Source: RNAcentral